GGGGCCAUAGCUCAGUGGUAGAGCGCUCGAUUGCGAAUCGAGAGGCGGGGGUUCAAGUCCCCUUAGCUCGCC
This 72-nucleotide transfer RNA is filed under the name Mycobacteroides stephanolepidis. Its description in RNAcentral is "[Mycobacterium] stephanolepidis tRNA-Arg". It matches the Rfam family "tRNA". From Rfam's summary of the family: Transfer RNA (tRNA) molecules are approximately 80 nucleotides in length. The record is from RNAcentral. Lineage: Bacteria; Bacillati; Actinomycetota; Actinomycetes; Mycobacteriales; Mycobacteriaceae.